RNAcentral lists this long non-coding RNA (688 nucleotides) under Cricetulus griseus (Chinese hamster). RNAcentral describes it as "lncRNA (ENSCGRG00015037635.1)". Lineage: Eukaryota; Metazoa; Chordata; Mammalia; Rodentia; Cricetidae. The record is from RNAcentral.
CUCCCUUCCUCCCUCCCUCCCUCCUCACUACACCACCCCCAGCGAAAUCCUGGCACCCAGAGAGCACUCUUUUCAGCCAGAGCCCAGAACCAGCCGUUGUCCCCUGGCAAAAGAGGCCCAGUGCUGGGCCCUGGGCAAGUGUCUCCAGACAUCCCUACCUUUCUUUAUUAGUCUUCUUUCCCAACAGAAGCUAUUUCCUUUUGCCACUAAAACUACGUUGCAUCCAAAAGUUUCUCACAAGCUUAGAAAAGAAAAAUGAAAAACUGACACCAUUAUACAGAAGAAUUCACAAAAGCUGCAGAACACCAGGGCAGAGAAGCAGCAGCGUCAGACACAGCUUUCCAAAUCAACCAGCCCCUGACUUGUCAUUUUGAAGAAACUGAGGUGCAGAGGAAUGAUUUGACUGAAGGAUGCCAAAGGAGCUGAGAGCAGCGUCUGCAGCAGCCUCUGGAUGCUUUGAGUUUGGAGUCCAUUUGCUCAGUUUGAAGGAGUUACAAUAGCUGACAAUGAACUACUGUUCAGUGAGCAUCAACUGUGUGCCAGAGCAAGUGCCAUCCAGACAUAAGCCAUCUUCCCAGAACCCCCCAUCAAAAUGUAAAAGAUAUGAAAGGAAGACAGGCAUAAAUUAAAAAUUCCCCAAAUAAUAUAAAAGAACAUAAACUGAAAGUAAAAGCCUCUAACUCCACUC